Molecule: long non-coding RNA, 1239 nt
Filed under: Anser cygnoides (Swan goose)
Lineage: Eukaryota; Metazoa; Chordata; Aves; Anseriformes; Anatidae
Description: lncRNA (ENSACDG00005004930.1)
Source: RNAcentral
AUGCCGGGGGCCCCAACUUGUGUUUUAGGGCUCUUGGUCCCUUUGGGCAUGACCUACAUCUCGGCUCCUCACCUGCUGUGUUGGGCUGUGGGCGGUCGCGGGGGUCCCAGUUUUGCUGGCGAACCCGGCUGCGGUGGGAUGUACACGCUGGGUGCGUGGCACGGUGACACCCCAAGGCAAGCAGCGGGCUGUGACACGAGAGGUGGCCCUGGCACUGCGUGUCCGGGGCUGUGCAGAGCUUCUCCUGCCCGGGGCACACAUUUAUCCAUCCACCCGUGUGACCUCUGCCGGCACGGAUCUGCCAGGGCCUCCGGGCUCUUCCCAUGGCGUGGCCGAACGCUGGGCCUGAUGCUCCUGGGGGGGCUGGGGGGCACAGCCCUGUCCCACUUCUGCCGGGGUGCGCGGGUUUUGGCUGCCCAUUUGAGCAUCCCUCGGAGGUGGCGGUGGGUCUGGCUCCAUGGGUUUGCCCCAUGUGUCCCCUCCGUCCUCAGGGCGGCUCCAGCUGGGGGACAAUUCCCUUGCAGAGGAGCUGACCCUCUUUCCUGGGACAAGUCCUGGCUGGAGGGGCUCCUCUGGGGGUGUUCGGGCUGUUUCUGGCCAAAAUUAGGUUGCUUAAAUAGUCUCGUAGCACAUGGGACAGCCGCCAGUCGUGGGAGCAGCCGGAGGCUUGGGGAGAGGAUCAGGUGGAUGCAGGCAGGGCUCAGCGACAGAAGCGGCUUUAAAAAAAACGCAGUUUGCUUCAGGGGGAAACUUCCUUCGAGAGUGCAACAGGCCAGUGCCACCCUGUCCCCAGAGGAGUCACUCUGGGCAGAGGUGAAGCUGGGAGCCAGCCCCGCUGCUGCUGGCAGAGUCCAGCCUCAGUGCCUGGAAACUCGCCGCUUUCCAAGAACAGGAGCUGUCAGCCCUGCAAACUUCCAGCCUGAGGGAUGCUUCCCCGGGGAGGGCUUUCGUUGCUCUCCCCAAGCCGCUUGUGAUGCAUCGCUGGCAUCUUCUGCUGGCGGCGGAGGCCCCGGGGCUGGAGGAGACGCCGAGCCCGGUGGCACGGAGCCGCUAGGUGGCCCUGCCACCCUGCCACCUGGGACGGAGCCACCUCCUUGCCAGGGGACAAACCUGCAGCUCCUGGGCUGGUUGUGGGGCCUGGGGGGAGGUUGGUGUGGGGUGACCCCGCUGGGAGCUGCCAGCAUCAAGCACCUCCGCCGUCAGCUUUGCCCAGCAGGUACCACCCGUGUCCCGGCGUGA